Molecule: ribosomal RNA, 303 nt
Filed under: uncultured bacterium
Lineage: Bacteria
Description: partial 16S ribosomal RNA
Rfam family: Bacterial small subunit ribosomal RNA
Source: RNAcentral
AGCAGUAGCCGCGGGAAUACGAAGGGGGCUAGCGUUGUUCGGAAUUACUGGGCGUAAAGCGCACGUAGGCGGAUAUUUAAGUCAGGGGUGAAAUCCCAGAGCUCAACUCUGGAACUGCCUUUGAUACUGGGUAUCUUGAGUAUGGAAGAGGUGAGUGGAAUUCCGAGUGUAGAGGUGAAAUUCGUAGAUAUUCGGAGGAACACCAGUGGCGAAGGCGGCUCACUGGUCCAUUACUGACGCUGAGGAGCGAAAGCGUGGGGAGCAAACAGGAUUAGAUACCCCCGUAGUCCCUGUCUCUUAUAC